GCCCGCACCCAACGCAACCCAAUCCCCUCGUCCCGCACGCCGUGCACACUUCGGUCCCCUCAUCCCACACGAACCCUAGGAGAGAGAGAUAGGAAGAUGAGAGGGAGAGAAAGGGGAGAGGAGAGGAGAGGGAGGUCCGGCAGCGGACGGGAGAGGGUGACCGGCCGGCGUCGGCCUACACUGGCGAGGCGUCGGCCUGCGCCCCUCCUCGCGCACGAACCCUAGCUGAGAGACAAAAUGAGGAGGAGAGAGAGAAGGAAGGAGAGGAGGGAGAAAGAUAGAGGAAAGAGGAAAGGGAGGUGCGGCGGCUGACAGGAGAGAGGGUCAUCGGCCGGCGCUGGAGAGGAUGGGCCCAACCUGGACGCGACCUGGAGGUUGGCGGCGGCUCGAUCCACUCCUGGAUCGGGACCUGCGACGAGGCUGGGGCUCGGGCGCGUUGUACGGGAGGCUGCACUCCGCCUCUUCCUCGUUAGCUCUUCUUCUUCACUGCCUUAAUUACCAGGACAACCAUUUUGUUGCUUCCUUUACAAAUAGAGUGUGUUAGACUUUCUCUUUGUUUGUCUCAUCUCCUUCUUAAGUGACUGGUUCCUGCACGGUUAUUGGCUUCUCCAAUGGAUCAUGUAGGUAGAAACUAAAAAGAACUGGAUAAUUUCUUUUACCCUUCUUUUAAUUUCAAUAGGAUUCCCGAGUUCAGAAUUGACAAUUCACAUCAGUAAUCAGUACAGAGCAGAUCAAUUGAUUUUCAUAAAAACGCAUAUUAGAAUUAUCAUUGGAUUGGUUUUCAUGUGCCUUUAUUAGACAUAUAGUGCAGAGGGAGUAAAUUAGUUUCACAGAAUGUUUCCUUGGAUUUUAGUUGCACUUCAUUCUGUUGUUUCGGUCUUUGUACAUUCAGAUGCUUUUUAAUUCAAAAGGAAACAACUCACAGAGGUUAUGUACGGGAGGCUACACUCUGCCUCUUCCUCGUGGUGCGGCGGACGACGGCUCUUGCGGUCGUGUGCUGACGACGGCCUCAGCAGGUGGGCGACCAAUGGCGGUGCCAGGGGUUAGCUGUGUAGGCAACUGACUACACAACAUUUUGGCAUGCAUUAGUAGACAUCAAGCAAAAACCAGUUUUCACACAUGCAUAAGUAUUUGACAUCACAACGUUGAACUCUUGCCUUCACCACUGUGGGCGACUACACUUGCAGCUGGCGCUUCGCCACUGUGGGCGACUACACUUGCAGCUGGCGCUCUACCCAUGGAUUCCGGCAUUAGCUCGAAACGCUCAGGACAAAUUAGGUCUCGACCAAUGGUGGAGAAGACGGAGUACAGGGAUGAGCCGCUCGAGCAUGGUUUGAUGGGAUGUUCGCGCGCAAGAUGCAGAAGUUCGCCAGAAGGAAGAAGAGCUGGGCGUCGAGGAGGAGAAGAAGGUGGUAUGCGAGGUGCUUGUAGGCCCAGCAGCAGGAGGCCGUCCUUGAGGUGCUCCUCUGGAUGGUCCCUUCCGGCGCUGGGUCUACGUGUUCAAUGCUGCCCUCACCAUCCCCUUCUUCCAUUGGCUCAUCGGCCCGUCAGAGUUCAGAGAUCUAAUACUCCGCAUUGCCUCCCAUCCAUUUUCAGAUAUAUAUAUAUAUAUAUAUAUAUAUAUAUAUAUAUAUUUAUAUAAGGUUUAUCAUCACCCCAUGGAUCAUGUGUUGUUGAUUGACCAGGUUAUUGAGGUGGAGGUCAACGGGGUGAGGAACAGAAGUGGAGUGCUCAUAAAGAAAUGAAGCUGCUCCCUGGACUCGCCAGUGCCGCCGCCUCCAGUCGCUUCCGCCUAGGCAUCCCGUCGCUAGCAAGAUUGAACUGACCAAUCCGUGUGAUUGAGGAAUCCUUGUGGAGAAAAAGAAUUCAAGGAACUCCGCAUCUCCGAAUACAGAGGUGAUAAAUCGAAUCAAUCGAGCAACGCUCUGGUGAUCUAUUCAUCUACAUGUCCUGAUAUGCAUGUAUUCCCUGUUUUUCCUCUGCUGGUUCAGCUUUGUUAAACUUAUAGCAGAUAUAAAAUACCUGUAUAUAUAUGCUUAGAACAAGCAAAAUUAGCACUCUCUAUCUUGAGUUGUCAAUUUGAUUUACAUACACAUGUCACUAGACUAUGCAUCAUCAAGCAGAAUGUUUAUGUGUGUUGCCAGUAACAAAUUGUAUCAAAUCUUGUGUUAAAACAAUGUUAUCAAAUUAACUUUCAAACCAGGAUUUCAAGAAAAAAAAGUGUGCUGGAGCAAGAAAGGGAACAUGGUAAGGACUGUGCCUACAAGAGUUUCUCUGUUCUUAUUGGUUGCCAUAUGCAGCUUGCGGGUCUCAACUUAAUAAAUACAUCAACCGUGUACAGAAGGAAAAACUCAUUACAUGAAUCCUGAGUAGGUAUUUUCAGUCUUUCGCAAUGUAAUUUAUUUAUUUUUCUCUCAUAAUAUGUUAGGUUCGACAUUGGAAAAUAUUUGGCAUGAAUGGAGUUGAUUUAAAUCUUGAAAGACUUCGAUUGAGACCUAUGUUUAUGUGUGUUGCCAGCCAAUUGUGGAAACUGAAAGUAGAGACACAAUUCACAUAAUAAGUAACAACUUCCAAUCCAAGUUUAACAACCACAGCUCCAUUCUAGAUUGAUGUUUAAGUUCUGAAGUAUCGCUCUCCAGAUUUCUGUCUGUUUCCAUUUUAGCUCGUUUUGUAGGUAUGCUUUAGGCAAAAUUUGGUCUGCGAAGAUACUGUUUCAGCAAAGGGCAAAGGGAAAAUCAUCAAGUUCGAUGAUCCAGUUUUUGUUCCAUAGGAUUCCCUUUUUCAAAUGAAUCUCCUACCUGAAAAAGGGCAUGGUAGUGGAUAUUGUAUCUGUUUUAUGUGCAUUAGAAGAGACGACCGGCUGGUUGAUUUUGUGCACAUAUUCUGUAAAUUCAACUUACCAAUAAAGCUUUGACAGGUCAUAUUGCCAGCACAUUCCAAGCGGAAUGGAGUGCCCAGUUUUGUCCAGAAAGCUGAGGCCUUCUGGUGGUUUAGCAUGAUAUUUCCUUAGUUGUCUUUUUGACUAGAAGAAGGAAGAAGUGUUGCUUGACUGGAAUGAGAUCACAAAGGAAUCUGAGAUGAGCUUUGCUACAUAAAGUAGUCUGAUGUGAUCUCCAUAUUCAUACAUAAUAUAUCGAUUGGGUGUUUUUGUAACUUAUGCAGGUUAUGUGCACAUUAGAAGUUGUCAAAUAUCUCCUGGUCAUAGGUUUCUUGCAUAUACUCUUGAUACAUCUAGGGGAAACUGUUUUCGCUGGAACUGAAAGAUCUUCAGUCUAGGUUAUGUUUCUAAAGCUCCAUGCUUAAUCAUCCAGACUGUUUCCAAGUGACUACUUUACACAUGGGAGACUGGAUGCCUGGAGGAGUUCAGAGAAGCUGGUGUUAUGUUACAUAUGGUCUUCAAGCUAAUGUUAUGUUUCUUGCAUGGUUUGUAUAUUUGUUGCAAAAACAUAGUACAAGAAAAAGAUCUAUGCUCAUGAAGAUGGCAGAAGGGAACUACAUGUGGAACUAGAACCACCAGCGCUGACCAGUUGGGCAUCUGGAUAGUGGUAGUGAACAAAAAUUGCUUGCCAUAUAGAGUCAAUGUAUUCUACUACUAUCACACUCGCUGAUUUUUAUGUUAUGAAAUUAUAGUUCAACCAUAGUAUGUAUUUACACUCCUGCUGUGAGAUUGUACUAUGUAAAUUAUGGGAGGACAAUAUAGGCCUUUAUAUGCAAAAAACUCCUUGUUGAAAUGAGUAACUUGAGCCAUUUGGCACAACA
Molecule: long non-coding RNA, 3759 nt
Organism: Triticum dicoccoides
Lineage: Eukaryota; Viridiplantae; Streptophyta; Magnoliopsida; Poales; Poaceae
Exons: 7
Source: RefSeq, a predicted model, not a curated record